CUCGGGGUGGAUUUUCGCCCUGAAGAAGAGCCGGGAACACGGUGGAUAUUCGCCGACAGUGAGUGUGCCUUGUUCGACAUGCGGAUCCUCCGUCGACGGCGGUCGUCGCGACGUCGGAAACCCGGGUCGCCGAGGCAGCGUGCUCGAGGCAUGGCCACGCCCAGGAACACGGCCAUCUUUGAUUAUCCGUGCGCAGUGCACCGCGGGAAAGCAACUACCCCGGUAACCCGCUCCAUGCCACACGACGCUAACGACGCACAAGAAUCCGGUUGCCAGAAAUGACUCCAAAAACUUCAUGCAAACGUUGGACGAUCGAGACCGAAGACCCUUGGUGGGGAUGAUGAGAAGGAGCUCAAACUGAUCCUCCCGAUUCGAAAAUGCAAAAUUUAAAACUCCAUGUGGUGCGCUACAGCUCCUGAAUGCGAGAUGCAGCUUUCCGGAGGCUCAAGGAAGUCUCAGACAUGCUACGUACUUCUGCAGUUUCGAUACCACUACGGACGGCAACCAAGUCUCACUUGGAAAGAUUUGCCGAUUUUUCCAGAUUUUCUAAACACAAAGUUUAUCAUGUUCAAACCAUUGUCAAUCGUUCAAUCAAGCACUUCACAAUCAAUAUCGCAUCA
Long non-coding RNA from Neodiprion virginianus, 620 nucleotides. RefSeq lists it as uncharacterized. Lineage: Eukaryota; Metazoa; Arthropoda; Insecta; Hymenoptera; Diprionidae. The record is from RefSeq and is a predicted model, not a curated record. The transcript is spliced from 3 exons.